RNAcentral lists this ribosomal RNA (533 nucleotides) under Bifidobacterium longum subsp. infantis. RNAcentral's name for it is "bacterial SSU rRNA". It matches the Rfam family "Bacterial small subunit ribosomal RNA", at positions 160 to 708 of the family's 1533-position model. Lineage: Bacteria; Bacillati; Actinomycetota; Actinomycetes; Bifidobacteriales; Bifidobacteriaceae. The record is from RNAcentral.
GUGGUAAUGCCGGAUGCUCCAGUUGAUCGCAUGGUCUUCUGGGAAAGCUUUCGCGGUAUGGGAUGGGGUCGCGUCCUAUCAGCUUGACGGCGGGGUAACGGCCCACCGUGGCUUCGACGGGUAGCCGGCCUGAGAGGGCGACCGGCCACAUUGGGACUGAGAUACGGCCCAGACUCCUACGGGAGGCAGCAGUGGGGAAUAUUGCACAAUGGGCGCAAGCCUGAUGCAGCGACGCCGCGUGAGGGAUGGAGGCCUUCGGGUUGUAAACCUCUUUUAUCGGGGAGCAAGCGAGAGUGAGUUUACCCGUUGAAUAAGCACCGGCUAACUACGUGCCAGCAGCCGCGGUAAUACGUAGGGUGCAAGCGUUAUCCGGAAUUAUUGGGCGUAAAGGGCUCGUAGGCGGUUCGUCGCGUCCGGUGUGAAAGUCCAUCGCUUAACGGUGGAUCCGCGCCGGGUACGGGCGGGCUUGAGUGCGGUAGGGGAGACUGGAAUUCCCGGUGUAACGGUGGAAUGUGUAGAUAUCGGGAAGAACA